UCUACUGCGGGCAAGAGCCCGGCCGCCAUUUCGCUGUGGGCCGGGGCGGGGCCCCGCCGCACCGGGACACCGGAGCCGCUACGUGCGCGGAGGGGGUGGCGCUGCUGAGGACGGCAGCUCUGUGUGCCCAUGAAAGAACCCCACGCCUGGUCUGCAGGGGUUUGGAAGGGCUGCGAGAGCGGGGUGAAGCGGCAGUAUGCACCUGGGCAUGGAUAUACGGCACGCCUGGCUCAGGGAUGCUUUGAAACGAGGGGAAUAGACUCAGCUAUAUAUCCUUACAUAGAUUCAUAUAUCCUCUGAAAUGCCUCAGAGUCAAGUUUACUACUGAAGACAACUAAGGAAAAUCACUUGCAAGUCAGUCUUUGUGGGGUGAGUCUUAAUACCAGUUGGCUUUGUCUCUGUGCUACAAAGAAGCAAGACCUCCUUCGUGGAGGUCUUAAGUUAUUGCCAGCAUUUCUAAAUGCUUCCCUUCCUUAACUACGUAGGUGUAUAAAUACGUGCUUGCUUGGUUUCUCCCAUGAUAGCAGAUAUUUAAGAUUCAGGAUCACCACUUUUUUAGUGUAACUUCCUCUGUGCUGCUGGUACAUAGAAUAUUGAGUUGUAGAACCAUGCAAUGGUUAGGGCUGGAAAAGACUCUCAGUAUCAUUGAGACCAAUGAUCAGCACUGCUGUGUUCACCACUAAACCAUGUCCCCAAAUGCCAUGUUUAGACAUUCUUUGAACACUUCCAGGAUAGUGACUCCACUCGGGGCAACCCGUUCCAAAGCCUGAUCCUUUCAGUGAUCAGUUUUUCCUACUCUAAACUCUUCUGGGAAAAUGGCACUUGUGGAUCUUUCUUCUUGUCCUAUCGCUUUUGUGUGACCUGGGAGAAGAGGCCAACCCCCACCUCACCACAACCUCCUUUUGGGAAAAAGUAGAAAGCAGCAAGAUCUCCCCUGAGCCUCUUUUUCUCCAGGCUGAAGAGCUUAUAGGCAUCCCUUGCAGCACUCCAGUUGUGUGAGUCAUCCCACCAGUAUGAAGAGGUUCUUCCAUUUGGGAUCAGUACUUGCCCUUCUGACCUAGUGAAAGAGAGUAGUGAGCCUUUCUGUGAGUUGUCCUCAGAAAUUACCAGACACACACCCCAGAAAUCAAUGCACAAAAUCCAUUCUGAAUUCCGAGUUAACCUUCAUGGUGGAAUUCUGGUCGGCUUGAGAGGUCAUUGAGGCAAUAGUUCACUACAAACCUUACUUCUGCUGCUGUUAUAAGCAACCCGGGGUGAAAUUCUGCCAUCUGUAGUCAACAAAUAUUGUACCUGAACCAUGCAAAACAGCUGAGGGAAUGUGCUGACACAGGAUUUUUAACCAGCCAGUAACUUCGUGUUACAAAACAUAUACAAGAAGAACAGGAAAAUCGAGUCAUAGUAAAGGUUGGGAAAGAAUUUGGGAUUUCUUAGCUCAAGGCAGUAUCAAAGAUUACAAUAGAGCAAUAGUAAAAACUAUUGCUAUGGGCAAGGACAUAUUCCAAAGAAUUUCUGUAUGUGUGGAAUGAUCCCAAAGAGGUUUGGAGACAGACUGUGGGGUAAGAACACAGUCUGCUGAACCACACUGAUGCCUUGUGUUUUAAUUGAUUUAAAUUGAUUGCCUUGCUUUAAAUGAUUCCUCUUCUAUGCCUAAAGAACUGUUUGUGAUAAUCAUUUUUCCUUGCAUGAAACCCAAUUGUACAAGACACUACUACUGUUAUUUAUUACUGUUCAUUAUUGUUUAUUAUUAUUGUUAGAUACUUUUAUAUUAAUUACUGUUAAUUGCUGUUUAUAUUAAUUACUGUUAGAUACUUAUCUAUUAUUAUUUACAGUUAGAUAUGUACUGCUAUUAGAUACUUAUUUACUAUUAGA
Oenanthe melanoleuca is the source of this 1869-nucleotide long non-coding RNA. RefSeq lists it as uncharacterized. The transcript is spliced from 2 exons. NCBI's taxonomy places the organism in Eukaryota, Metazoa, Chordata, Aves, Passeriformes, Muscicapidae. The record is from RefSeq and is a predicted model, not a curated record.